RNAcentral lists this ribosomal RNA (492 nucleotides) under uncultured bacterium. RNAcentral's name for it is "partial 16S ribosomal RNA". It matches the Rfam family "Bacterial small subunit ribosomal RNA", at positions 29 to 507 of the family's 1533-position model. The record is from RNAcentral.
AGUGAACGCUGGCGGCAUGCCUAACACAUGCAAGUCGAACGGCCGCACGGUAAGCUUUUUCUCUUACUGUUGGCGACUGACGGACGGGUGACGCAUACAUCGCCUUCUACUUUUUCUUGGGUGAUUACGUAGGAACACUUCCGCUACUACCUCAUACUUUCUACCGCUUAAAUCAGGGGAUCUUCGCACCUUUCCCGUUUCUAUUAGCCGGUGUCGCAUUAGCUAGUUGGCUGGGUAACGGCCCACCAAGGCGACGAUGCGUAGCUGGUCUGAGAGGAUGAUCAGCCACACUGGAACUGAGACACGGUCCAGACUCCUACGGGAGGCAGCAGUAGGGAAUAUUGGACAAUGGGCGAAAGCCUGAUGCAGCAAUACCGCGUGAGUGAAGAAGGCCUUCGGGUUGUAAAACUCUUUUGUUAGGAAAGAAAAGAAGUAGGAGAAAACCCGGAUGUUUUGACGGUACCUAAAGAAUAAGCAACGGCUAACUUCGUG